UACUUCUAAUUCUCUUAACAUGCACACUGUCCACAUCACCUUCAUGCCACAUAAGUUUCACGGCCCACCAGGAUCACCACAGUGCCAUGUCAGCAUUUUCUUCUUCCAAUUAACAUACCAGCCCAAAAGGUUCAUUAUCUAUUAGAAGACGAACGACCUCGCUCUCCCCCGCUAAUCGCUAUCCGCAUCCCUGUCUCUUCCCAUUCUCUCGCCCCUCCACUUGAUCUUCUUCAACACGAUGCUCCCCUGUUUCCGUAGCCCACCCAACCAUGGAGUACAUCCUCACCGUGUAGGAUCGAAGCAAUAUCAUGCUUGCUGUCUGCCGUCGUUCAAGAUCCAAGCAGCAGCCCCGCCGAGAAGGUUGUUCUAGCCGUCCUCCGCCCGGCCGGAUCACGGCCGCUACACAACAGUCCCCAUCUGCCGCCGCACCUAAUGGGUUCCAGACCCGCUCAAGAGCUUAAUCGCUACUGCCUGCUGGGACGGACUCUCUCUCUCUCUCUCUCCGUCCCUCUCUCUCUCUCUCUCUUAGUCUAUUUGUGUGCGGUGGCUUCCAUGUAGCUGUUUAUGUUCUGUAUAUACACCAGCUUGAAUUUUUUGGUGUAAAUCAGGAUCUUCAAUUAUGUCUGAUGAGUAUUACUAGUUUAUCAUCUUUUAAAUGUCACCAGCGCCUCAAUUUGGGAAAUGCUUUCCAUCUCCUGUUAUGCACCGACCCCUCCGGUUAUACUGAGUGCAUCCUCUACAACAAUUCUUCACUAUCAUGCUCCGCUGUUACGACCAGUAUUACAGACUUUUAUCAUGUUUUAAAUGUCACCGGUGCCUCAAUUUGGGAAAUGAUUUGCAUCGGCCCCUCCAGGCUAUAGUGAGUGCAGCCACUACAACCAUUCUUCACUAUCAUGCUCUGCUUUUACGACCAAUUAUCCCUCAGGUUGCUUUCCUGACCAUGCUUUGCUUCCAUUCAGUAUGGUCGAUUUGUGGAACCUCCAAAGACAGUAUGUUAUAAAAUGGUACAUCAUUUUUAUUUUCAUGUUUUUACCAGUUAUUUUUAUUUUCAUGUGUGGUGAUUCUCAGUCAUGUAGGUGAGUAAUAAAGAACGAAAUACCAAUGUGUUUGGAUAAGUACUAGUCCGUCCUUUUCCUUAUAUCAAUGCACUUCACAGUGUCUGCCAACAUGAAGGUUAGUAUUUGUUUUCUUUACAUUUCAUUGUGCAUAUAACCUGUAGUACUAGAGCUUUUCUAGCUUCUCAUGUUGCUACAGUUCCUGAAGUUUUGGACUCAAAAUUUUUGCAAUUUGUUCUUUCUGAAUAUGCUUGCAGUGACGACUAUGUACUGAAAAUGGAAACCUGGUCUACGACAGUGUUUUACAGAACAUUUUAAUUAAAUAUUAUGGCAUCACCAUUUGCUGUUUUGCAGAUCUCCACAUUGGAUUUAGUAACUAUUUCUCUGCAUCAUUCAUUUCAGUUGGGGGUCUAAAUGGUACAUGCAAACAAUAUCAAUAAUUUCUUGCAUAUUGCCUUUUUUGUGGAAAUACAUGUUCCCUUUUGUUUUGGAAAUGAUAAAUUAUUUUUGUUUGAAAUAACGCUUGAUGUUCUUUGCGUACAAAAGGAAAUUAUCAAUUGUAAAGAGCUACAAGUGAAUGCUUAUAUCAGAUUUUAUAAGGGUUCUUUCAUCUAAGGUUGGAACAUGAAAUGUCAUGUAAGCUUUAUUUUGAAGACAAUUAUUUUAAGUGGCAUUAUUUAUUUAUAC
This is a non-coding RNA of Triticum urartu, 1742 nucleotides long. The record is from RefSeq and is a predicted model, not a curated record. Lineage: Eukaryota; Viridiplantae; Streptophyta; Magnoliopsida; Poales; Poaceae.